This 453-nucleotide ribosomal RNA is filed under the name uncultured soil bacterium. RNAcentral's name for it is "bacterial SSU rRNA". It matches the Rfam family "Bacterial small subunit ribosomal RNA", at positions 26 to 523 of the family's 1533-position model. The record is from RNAcentral.
AGAACGAACGCUGGCGGCAUGCCUAACACAUGCAAGUCGAACGAGACCUUCGGGUCUAGUGGCGCACGGGUGCGUAACGCGUGGGAAUCUGCCCUUGGGUUCGGGAUAACAGUUGGAAACGACUGCUAAUACCGGAUGAUGACUUCGGUCCAAAGAUUUAUCGCCCAGGGAUGAGCCCGCGUCGGAUUAGCUAGUUGGUGGGGUAAAGGCCUACCAAGGCAACGAUCCGUAGCUGGUCUGAGAGGAUGAUCAGCCACACUGGGACUGAGACACGGCCCAGACUCCUACGGGAGGCAGCAGUGGGGAAUAUUGGACAAUGGGCGAAAGCUGAUCCAGCAAUGCCGCGUGAGUGAUGAAGGCCUUAGGGUGUAAAGCUACCGUUUUACCGGGAUUGGAUAAUGACGAGUAACCGGAGAAUAACGCCCGCUAACUCCGUAGCCAGCCAGGCCGUAC